GCAGCAGCCGCGGGAAUACAGAGGGUGCGAGCGUUAAUCGGAUUUACUGGGCGUAAAGCGUGCGUAGGCGGCUUCUUAAGUCGGAUGUGAAAUCCCUGAGCUUAACUUAGGAAUUGCAUUCGAUACUGGGAAGCUAGAGUAUGGGAGAGGAUGGUAGAAUUCCAGGUGUAGCGGUGAAAUGCGUAGAGAUCUGGAGGAAUACCGAUGGCGAAGGCAGCCAUCUGGCCUAAUACUGACGCUGAGGUACGAAAGCAUGGGGAGCAAACAGGAUUAGAUACCCCUGUAGUCCCUGUCUCUUAUAU
RNAcentral lists this ribosomal RNA (302 nucleotides) under uncultured bacterium. RNAcentral describes it as "partial 16S ribosomal RNA". It matches the Rfam family "Bacterial small subunit ribosomal RNA", at positions 508 to 809 of the family's 1533-position model. The record is from RNAcentral.